This 657-nucleotide long non-coding RNA is filed under the name Elaeis guineensis (African oil palm). RNAcentral's name for it is "long non-coding RNA (EGUI_LNC055695)". The record is from RNAcentral. Lineage: Eukaryota; Viridiplantae; Streptophyta; Magnoliopsida; Arecales; Arecaceae.
UUGGCGUGGGCACAUCGACUUCUUCUGCACCACAAAUGAUGACCUAGCUCGAAAAAUAGAUAGAUUUCACACUCUGCUUCGUUCCUUUCUUGAGUUGCUACGAAUAGACAUUAGAGACUCCAGAGACUUCCUAUCUGCUGAUCUUAAUAGGCUCCAAAUUACUGUGAGGGGGAUCUUGUCUCAACUUGAUGCCAUCAGGACUCAGCUUCAGUCUAGGCCCUCUAUAUCUAAUGAGCCAGAUUUGUUCAGCCUAUUGCUUUUCGUCCUCCGACAUCUUUCUCUUGGUCCAGACCCUUUGAUCACGGAUGAGGCUGAUCAUGUUUUUACCUAUCUGGAUCUUGUGCUCGAUGCCCAGUUUCUCUGACUUUAUUUUGUAUUAGAUUACUAAGUUGUAUUUUAUAGAUUGGAUGUAUGAGAGCUUUAUGCUCUUUAUGACUCUUGUAACCUCUAUUUUCGUGUAUAUGAAUGAGGUUGUUUCCUUUCUACUCAUGUCUCUUUGGAUGAAUGUUUAUUAUCAUAUCCCUUUGGUUAUAUGAAUAUUUAUUAUUAUGUCUCUUUGGAUGAAUAAAUGCUUAGUAUCAUUUUCUGUUGGAUGGAUGAAUGUGGUAUCAUGCUCUAUUUUCUUAAUACUUGACUUAACACCAUAAACAUCCUACU